UGAACGCUAGCGACAGGCUUAACACAUGCAAGUCAGGGGCAGCAUAAAGUAGCAAUACUUGGUGGCGACGGCGCACGGUGAGUAACGCGUAUGCAACCUACCUAUCAGAGGGGAAUAACCCGGCGAAAGUCGGACUAAUACCGCAUAAAACAGGGACACCGCAUGGUGAUAUUUGUUAAAGAAAUUCGCUGAUAGAUGGGCAUGCGUUCCAUUAGGUAGUUGGUGAGGUAACGGCUCACCAAGCCGACGAUGGAUAGGGAACUGAGAGGUUGGUCCCCCACACUGGUACUGAGACACGGACCAGACUCCUACGGGAGGCAGCAGUGAGGAAUAUUGGUCAAUGGGCGAGAGCCUGAACCAGCCAAGUCGCCGUGAAGGAAGAAGGAUCUAUGGUUCGUAAACUUCUUUUGCAGGGGAAUAAAGUGCAGGACGUGUCCUGUUUUGUAUGUACCCUGAGAAUAAGGAUCGGCUAACUCCGUGCCAGCAGCGGC
RNAcentral lists this ribosomal RNA (491 nucleotides) under uncultured bacterium. RNAcentral describes it as "bacterial SSU rRNA". It matches the Rfam family "Bacterial small subunit ribosomal RNA", at positions 30 to 518 of the family's 1533-position model. The record is from RNAcentral.